This 1465-nucleotide unclassified non-coding RNA is filed under the name Leishmania donovani. Its description in RNAcentral is "gene:unknown". The record is from RNAcentral. Lineage: Eukaryota; Euglenozoa; Kinetoplastea; Trypanosomatida; Trypanosomatidae.
AGCCCUCCCUCUCGUAUCUUUCGCCAAUGCUGUACCUCCUCUGGUGCUGACAGGGUCAUAUAUCUGCGACCUGGGUAAAUCAGCGCGAUUCACUGCUACUGAUGUCAGCAACGAGGUCCUAUAUGGCGUUGCGCCGGAGCGACCUUCGAAAGUGCACACGCUUGUGCCAUCCACACGAUUAGGCAGAGCGUCGGCGUGACUCGAACGGAUCUCACCCGACUCUCGCACUUCCCUACUGGUGUGGGGAGUCUGAGCGCCACCCCAAAGGGGGAUGCACCAGGUGUGUCGACCGGCACAAUGGGGGAGCGGCGGUGAGGCGACCCGAGAAGCGGAUGGGUGCAUAGAACUUGAGGCCGGGGCCAUGCUCCGAUAACGAAGUCGGCACAUUGCUGCAAUGCUUGUCUAGCGCUGCUUCGCAUCAGACAGAUGGGGCCUGUGGCAGAGUCGGGGCUCGAGUGGGGUGACCUCAUGCUCCAUGGCAGGGAACGGACGUACUGUAAGGAAAUACCUCGUCGCGCCACUUUCUUCUGUUGUCACCGUCCUUCUUUUUUUUUUGCGCCCGUCGUUCCCUCUUUCCCUCUGUGUCUUUUGCUUCCGCGUGGCGAUGGCGCAGCGAUGCGAGAACAGGAUCUCGGCGAGUGUCGAAGGCGACAGAGUCGCAGAGAGCGAUAGUGUUAGUGUGUGUGUGUGUGUCUGCGAUCCAAGGGCACACGCUUCGCUUUCGUGCUUCGAAUGUGUCUCUCUCUUUGUUUGUGUAUGCGUGCGUGGAGUAUAGUCCGCCGCCCCUUCUUUUUUUUCUUUAAACUGUUCCUAUGGCUGCGCGUGUCGGCUGCAAUCACAGCUUCGCCUUUUUUAUCUCGCGUUCUCCUUCACCUCGUCGCCAGCGCAGCACUCCCCUCCCCUCCGCUUGUGCAUUACUUCCCCCCUCCACACACACACACACACACAAGCGCUGAAGCGCAUAUCCGACUUUACCUUUUUUAACACACAAACGCGGUUGUACAGUAGCUGAAUUGCUUGCUCAUCCGCAACCCUCCCCGGUGUGUCUGUGUCUCGCGCAUCUGUAUGCAGAUCUUGCGCUGCAGCCCACAGAAAUAUGCACCGCGGCAGCAGCGAACGGAAUCGAGCGAGGAGCAAUAUCCCCCCUCCGGCGCGCUCAAAAAAAAAGUAAAGCAUCCAGCAGCCACGCUGAACUAUGGAUGGACGCGCACUCGAAAAGAAAAGGGAGCUCGCGGACGACGCGUCUCUACUGGGCUCUUUGAUGUGACUGCUGUUGAGUUACUGGCCGUUGCACGUCGGCCUUUUUUUUCUGUGUGUGCUUGUUCAAGUUUCACACGCCCCGCGCGUUAGCCGGUGCCCCUUCGCGGACUUCACUUUGAAAGGCGAACUCCACAUGCUUGUCGGAUGCGGGCGAUCGAGCAUUGGCUUCCUUCCUCUCAUCUUCCCCAUCUUCGCUCCUCGCCAG